RNAcentral lists this ribosomal RNA (468 nucleotides) under uncultured bacterium. RNAcentral's name for it is "partial 16S ribosomal RNA". It matches the Rfam family "Bacterial small subunit ribosomal RNA", at positions 28 to 507 of the family's 1533-position model. The record is from RNAcentral.
GACGAACGCUGGCGGCGUGCUUAACACAUGCAAGUCGAACGGAAAGGCCCUGCUUUUGUGGGGUGCUCGAGUGGCGAACGGGUGAGUAACACGUGAGUAACCUGCCCUUGACUUUGGGAUAACUUCAGGGAACUGGGGCUAAUACCGGAUAGGAGCUCCUGCUGCAUGGUGGGGGUUGGAAAGUUUCGGCGGUUGGGGAUGGACUCGCGGCUUAUCAGCUUGUUGGUGGGGUAGUUGCUUACCAAGGCUUUGACGGGUAGCCGGCCUGAGAGGGUGACCGGCCACAUUGGGACUGAGAUACGGCCCAGACUCCUACGGGAGGCAGCAGUGGGGAAUAUUGCACAAUGGGCGGAAGCCUGAUGCAGCAACGCCGCGUGCGGGAUGACGGCCUUCGGGUUGUAAACCGCUUUCGCCUGUGACGAAGCGUGAGUGACGGUAAUGGGUAAAGAAGCACCGGCUAACUACGUG